AUGUGUUUGGGUGAGUGUUUCAGAAGCGCAGCAGGGGAUCACUUUCUUACACCGCCCCGUCAGGUGCCCGUGAGGGGUCAGCCCCGCUCCCCUCCCGCCCCCGGCCGCCAUUUUGGGGCCCGCACAGCCCCUCAGGCAGGGCCGCCCCCGCCGCCCCAGCCCGCCAAUCGCAUCUCUCCCCGCUCCGCCCCGCCGCCCAAUGGGAGAGGCUCGCGUUUCCCAGCCCCCGCCCCGCCGCUCUCUUCCUGCGGCCUGACAGGUGCGUCACCCCCCUCCCAUUGGCCCGCUCGCCCUAGACGGACACCCUCCCGGACCAAUCCCCUUCCGAAGGGCGUUCCCCGCAGCACCCUCCGUCCCCACCCGCUGAGGGGAGCGAAGCCGCCCUCAUUACCUCACGCAGCGCCCGGCGGCUCCCAUUGGCCGCUUCCCCCCUCUUCUCCCCGCCCCCCGAUGACGCCACGGCACGGGGGGGGCUGCGAUUGGCCGAGCGCGAGGCCGGGCCCGGCUGCGCGAGGCCGAGGGGCGGGCUUAAAGGGGGGCGGCGGCGGCGGGGCCUGGGCGGCGGGCGGCGGGGAGCGGCGCGGCCGGAGCGCGGUGAGGGCCCGGCGGGGCGCGCGGCUUUUAACCAAUUUCCCCCUUUCUCACCCCAUUUUUGCUACGGGAGGGGAGGGCGGCGAGCGGGGUGGGGCUCCCCGCGGCCUCGGCGCUGUGGGCAGGGGGGGUGGGGGGCUCGGGGCGGGCCCCGCCGCCGGGGCCGGGCGCUCCUCACAGGGAGCCGCUGGCAGUGGGGUGGCGGUUGGGGGGGGGGGGGGUUUGAUCCCCAACGGCUCCGAGCCCCAACGGCCCCGCCGGUGCCGGGCAGGGAACGCGGCCCCACAGGCACCGGGGUCCCUCGCAGCUGCCCGGGGCAGCCAAGGGGACGUGCACAAAGCCCAGCUGCAGCCGGCCCUCAGCGCGGCCACCCCGUGUGGUGCUGGGGGUGCCGCUGCGGGGUGUGCUGCGGGCGGCAGGUGGCCUGGGCAGCCACAGGAGGGCUUCCACUGUGCGAGUGCGCUGUAA
This 1059-nucleotide long non-coding RNA is filed under the name Anas platyrhynchos platyrhynchos (common mallard). RNAcentral describes it as "lncRNA (ENSAPLG00000018168.1)". The record is from RNAcentral. Lineage: Eukaryota; Metazoa; Chordata; Aves; Anseriformes; Anatidae.